Telopea speciosissima is the source of this 189-nucleotide long non-coding RNA. RefSeq lists it as uncharacterized. The transcript has 3 exons. NCBI's taxonomy places the organism in Eukaryota, Viridiplantae, Streptophyta, Magnoliopsida, Proteales, Proteaceae. The record is from RefSeq and is a predicted model, not a curated record.
UAUUAUAAAUACAAGUCUGUUUUGUCCAAGCAGGAUCCGAAGUAUCCGCUUUAUUAGGCAGAAUGCCUUCUGCUGUGGGUUAUCAACCUACUCUUAGUACAAAAAUGGGUUCUUUGCAAGAAAGAAUUACUUCUACCGAAGAAGGAUCCAUAAGUUCUGUUCAAGCAGUUUAUGUACUUGCAGAGGAAG